CUACGGGUUGCUCCAGUGAGGAAUUUUGGGCAAUGGGGGCAACCCUGACCCAGCGACGCCGCGUGCAGGAUGACAGCCCUUCGGGUUGUAAACUGCUUUCGGAUGGGAAGAAAAGAGAGGCUUCCUCCCCGAGACUGUACCAUCAGAAGAAGCACCGGCAAACUACGUGCCAGCAGCCGCGGUAAUACGUAGGGUGCGAGCGUUAUCCGGAAUUACUGGGUAUAAAGGGUGUGUAGGCGGGCUUGUGCGUCGAUGGUUAAAGACCCGGGCUUAACUCGGGGAGUGCCUUCGAUACGGCAAGUCUUGAAUGUGAGAGAGGAUGAUGGAAUUCCUGGUGUAGCGGUGAAGUGCGUAGAUAUCAGGAGGAACACCGGUAGCGAAGGCGGUCAUCCGGCUCAUUAUUGACGCUGAGGCACGAAAGCGUGGGGAGCGAACAGGAUUAGAUACCCCUGUAGUC
Molecule: ribosomal RNA, 457 nt
Filed under: uncultured bacterium
Lineage: Bacteria
Description: partial 16S ribosomal RNA
Rfam family: Bacterial small subunit ribosomal RNA
Source: RNAcentral